GAACAUAUUGAUGGAAACAUGUCAUGAGAGCAUAUAAUAAGAGCCCCUCUAGAUAAACUAUAAUGAGCAAUCAAUAGUAGAACAUCAUCAUUUUAAUUUCCAAGUGGAACUCAAAAUAGAUUAUAAUUACAUUUCAGAAUACUCUCAACGUUUGGAUUCUUGAUGAACUUAUGGAAUGGUCGACAACAACACUUGAAAAUUGCCAAGAUACACACACACACACACACACACACACACACACACACACACACACACACACACACACACACACACACACACACACACACACACACACACACACACACACACAAACAAACACACACACACACACACACACACACACACACACACACACACACACACACACACACACACACACACACACACACACAU
RNAcentral lists this long non-coding RNA (393 nucleotides) under Brassica napus (rape). RNAcentral describes it as "long non-coding RNA (BNAP_LNC003686)". The record is from RNAcentral. Lineage: Eukaryota; Viridiplantae; Streptophyta; Magnoliopsida; Brassicales; Brassicaceae.